GUGGAACUUGGGAUUCGAACGGCAGGCGGGAAGUGCUCUAGCAGGGGAGUCUGACCUUGUGAGGGAAUACCUGUGUCCCCCCUUUUUUCCCCUUUUUACCCAAUAAAACCCUGCCUUACUCACCCUUUAAAUCAUCUGCGAGCCUGAAUUUUCAUGGCCGUGGGACGGACAAGAACUUUAUCUUCAGCUGAACUAAGAAAAAGUCCUGCAACAUUUUUGGCGCGCAAUGUGGGGGCACCAGAAGCGGGCACCGUUGAGCUGUUGCAACUGUUCUGCUGGAGCCUUAUGUAUGUGGUUGAAACCACCUGUACUACUGGAAUGAAAGCACCUUUACAGAAGAGGCAAUGCAAGUUGUAUUCAUCACAUGUGUAGAAUGAAUUAAGAUUUAUGCCAGUUGCAAAGAAGAAUAUUGGCUCACUAUUUUUCCUCUGGGCAUGUGGAAAUGUAAAUCAGUCCAUGUUACUCACCUCGGAGAAGCAGAAGUACGAUUUACUAUUGUUGCUUGCUUACUUACUCUUAUCAAUUUCUAUGAGAGAGUUGUACUGCGACAUUAGCUCUUUUGACUAGAUGUGAUGACAGACUGUCUUUGGUCCAUUCUCUUUUAUUGCCUUGGAAGAGAAUAAAUGAGGAGUAGUUCUCACCCAUUGCAGCUGAGGCAUCACACCUGUAAUGGGAUUAACAAGAUGAUAAUAUAUCUUUUGCCAAGACCACAUACUAGCAGCUAUUACUAACAAAGAAAAGACUGCUUCUGUAAUACAACAAUAAAUUUAUUGAACUAAAAGUUGAGACUGACAUCUGGGCACAUUGGGCUCCUCAUGCCUCUGAAUAAACAGACAAACAAAUGAGUUACUAUACCAGCAGAGGGGUACAAGCAAUUUUCCAGUCUUGACCCUUUAUCUGUUGACCAAGCUAAGGCAGAAACCAGCUAAAUUCUGGAUUUAAUCUUGAGCAGCAAAAAAGAUCAGCUUUUGAAGUGGAUCUGCUUUUAUUCUUGGCAAAAGUUCAGCGGAGACCAACCAGAGUGGUGACAAAGUUCUUCAACAUCAAGCCAAAUGUAAUACAAGGAAUUACGGAUAGUGCUUAAUCUAAAAUAAAGAAAUUCCACAUCUCCCUAAAAAGUUAUUGGCUUCAAGAAUGAAAACAAAAGAAGCAUAUUUGUCUCAAUCCAAACACAGACACCAGAAAGACAAACCAGGAGUAUACAGCAAAGUAGCUUGCAGGAUAAUACAUUGAAAAAUGUAAUUGUGCAUAAAUCAUGCACAAAGUAGAAACCACAAAUUCUGUAUUUGGCAAGGCUUCGGUUCCUUUGCAUAAUUCUUUCAUUUUCAUCUUGCUGCUUCCAUUCUCUUUUCAUCAAAAAAAGCUACAUAAAACAAAGACAUAAACUGUAUGCAAUUAAAAUGAGAAAAUAGCUGAAAGGAAUGUAUUGAUAAUUAUGUUAAAAUCUAUACCAUAAGUAUUCUUGCAUUGUUAAGCAUCUAAUUUUUCAUGUGUUGACAUCAGCAUCUCAGUUCUCUCUAACAUCUGAAAGCUUUUUUUUUUAAGGCAACUUCUUUUAGAGUGAACAAACUUAUGUACCACCGAGUUGACAAAAGUAUAACUAUAUCCUACAGAAAGAGACCUCAAGUAAACCUCCAGCAGCCAUCUGGACUUCCAUGAAAACAGAACAAUCAGUGAGAUGCAGAGCUUGGAGGAGACAGUUUCCAUAGACUGAAGCACGUGCUGAAGCAAAGUUCACACUUGCAGGAUUAGAAGAGGUUGACCGAAAGAAGGAAGGACAUGGACAGCUAUGUUGUUGUGGAGUCCUGUUUUAUAGUCAUAACCUUGAGUCAAGUGAGUUUGUCUGGACAGACAGAGCUUGUUGCCUUUACUUAUAGGGAAGGCACCGGACACAGACAGCCUCAAGGACAUUUGUUCUAGCCUUUCAGUAUCCUUUCUCUUAAUUAUCUCACCUCAUCCAUGAAGCUGGUAUGUACGAUUUUUCCUUUCUUUCUCAAUCCUUUAAAAAAUUAAAGCUCUAAAUCUCAUUUCCACUUAGAUUUUAAUGUUGCAUUGUAACUUAAGAUAAAACCUUGCUCUGAUGUUAAAAAUACUAAAGUAAGAAGCAAUAUGGCAUAGUGCUUAUGAGCAGGACUACAUAGUUCUUUCUGAAUACAAAUCUCAGAUAAAACACUAUCUCAGUGAUCAACCAGGUUAAGCAACCUUUUUAGUGCCUCAAUUAUUCCAUUUGUAAAAUUGUAAUAAUGAUAGUACUAACCUAUAAGAUUGUGGUGAGGAUUAAGUCAGAUAAUACAAAAGAAGCAUUUAGAGUAUUUCCUGGCAUUAUCUACCAUUUAUUGAAUUUUUAUGGUUAAGAAGAAUAAGGAAAAGCAGAAGAAAAGGAAAAGAGAAAAAAUACAUAAGAAGAAGGAAGAGUGGUAAGCUCUAGUAAAUUACAACAAACGGUAACGUAGAAAACAUUUGUUAGCCCUUAAUAUAGGCCAGGCACUGUGUUCAAUGCUUAAACCUCAUUACUGUUCUUUGAAGUGGAUAACAUUAUUCCUUCCAUUUUAAAGAAAGGAAUACUAAAGACAACUUUGUCAAUAUUAUUCAUGUAAUAAAUGACAGAAUUUGACCAAGACAAUAGAGAAUGAACUCUUAAUCACUAUAUUGUUUUAUUUUUUGAAAAUAGAUUUUAAGUUCUUAUUAAAUGUUAAUGACUCACAUCAAAAUAAAGCCAAUCAAAAUUGACAGCAAU
RNAcentral lists this long non-coding RNA (2737 nucleotides) under Homo sapiens (human). RNAcentral's name for it is "HSALNT0250218". The record is from RNAcentral. Lineage: Eukaryota; Metazoa; Chordata; Mammalia; Primates; Hominidae.